Molecule: ribosomal RNA, 345 nt
Filed under: uncultured Symbiodinium
Lineage: Eukaryota; Dinophyceae; Suessiales; Symbiodiniaceae
Description: partial Bacterial large subunit ribosomal RNA
Rfam family: Bacterial large subunit ribosomal RNA
Source: RNAcentral
GGCGGAUGCCUAGGCUCUCAGAGGCGAAGAAGGACGUGAUAAGCUGCGAAAAGCUACGGGAAGGCGCACAUAGCCAUUGAUCCGUAGAUGUCCGAAUGGGGCAACCCAAUAUCUUGAAGAGAUAUUAUCCCGCAAGGGAGGCGAACCCGGUGAACUGAAACAUCUAAGUAACCGGAGGAGAAGAAAACAACAGUGAUUCCGCAAGUAGUGGCGAGCGAACGCGGAACAGCCCAAACCCACUUGGUUACGGCUAAGUGGGGGUAAUAGGACCCAAAUGUCUGUCUAUUUACAUGAACUGGAAUGAUCUGGGAAGGUCAACCAUAGGGGGUGAGAGUCCCGUACAGG